Molecule: long non-coding RNA, 331 nt
Filed under: Lactuca sativa (garden lettuce)
Lineage: Eukaryota; Viridiplantae; Streptophyta; Magnoliopsida; Asterales; Asteraceae
Description: long non-coding RNA (LSAT_LNC005067)
Source: RNAcentral
AGCAACUCGAGCGGCUAGCGAAGUUAUGAGCUCCACAGUUUCCCACAUUGCAGUACCAGUCUCCUGGCCUCACAUCUGGCCCCGUGAAACCAAAUACUGACAAGUUCAUCCCCCCUCUGGCGCCAAAGCUUCCAAAAUCACCACCAUAGCCACCACUGCCACCACCACCACCACCAAAGCUCCCAAAAUCACCAACAUAGCCGCCGCCACCUCCAUGCUUAGAAUCACCACAUCUUUGGCAGGAGUCCCUCCUUUGGAAGUUCAAAUGCUGGCAUGAUCUACAGUUCCAAUCUCCUGGCCUGCUCAUCUUACUUUCCCUUCACUAAAACAU